Molecule: long non-coding RNA, 448 nt
Organism: Ictalurus punctatus (channel catfish)
Lineage: Eukaryota; Metazoa; Chordata; Actinopteri; Siluriformes; Ictaluridae
Source: Ensembl
GGGGUCAUUCGCGCGCGUCGGGUUUCACAAAACACAUACAUACACACAGUUGCACACGCAGGCACGUGACUCCGAAUGGCCGCUGUGGCUUCCUCUGCCUCGCGCGGAUCUCCGUUCCCACUUCCCGUCUCCACGUCCGAGUCGGUCCGACGCGCGCGCCGUUUCUGAUCCCGCAUUCCGGCUUAACAUUUGGAGGUCACUUGUGCACGGGGAGGGUCACACACACACACACACACACACACACACACACACACACACACACACACAGCACGAGAAAACAGCGGCACGACUCACUGGAGUAACAUCAUCACAUCACAGCGCAUCGCGUCAGACCCGAAGAGAAACUUCCAUCGGUCGCGAGACGCCGGUGGGCGGAGCCAACAGGUUACAGCUCACAGUAAAACGGUGACAAAGACUGGAUCAGUGGCCCAUGAGGAGUGAGACAGGU